GCUAUCUGCAGUCGAGGGGCAGCGCAGGUAGCAAUACUGGGUGGCGACCGGCAAACGGGUGCGGAACACGUACGCAACCUUCCUUCAAGAGAUGGAUAGCCCGAAGAAAUUCGGAUUAAUACAUCGUAAAAUCACAGGGUGGCAUCACUUAAUGAUUAAAGAAUUUCGCUUGAAGAUGGGCGUGCGCCUGAUUAGGUAGUUGGUGAGGUAACGGCUCACCAAGCCGACGAUCAGUAACUGGCGUGAGAGCGCGACCAGUCACACGGGCACUGAGACACGGGCCCGACUCCUACGGGAGGCAGCAGUAAGGAAUAUUGGUCAAUGGACGCAAGUCUGAACCAGCCAUGCCGCGUGAAGGAUGAAGGUCCUCUGGAUUGUAAACUUCUUUUAUCUGGGACGAAAUCACUUUUUUCUAAGAGUGUUGACGGUACCAGAGGAAUAAGCACCGGCUAACUCCGUGCCAGCAGCCGCGGUAAUACGGAGGGUGCAAGCGUUAUCCGGAUUCACUGGGUUUAAAGGGUGCGUAGGCGGAUUUGUAAGUCCGUGGUGAAAUCUCCAGGCUUAACCUGGAAACUGCCAUGGAUACUAUAAGUCUUGAAUAUUGUGGAGGUUAGCGGAAUAUGUCAUGUAGCGGUGAAAUGCAUAGAUAUGACAUAGAACACCAAUUGCGAAGGCAGCUGGCUACACAAAUAUUGACGCUGAGGCACGAAAGCGUGGGGAUCAAACAGGAUUAGAUACCCUGGUAGUCCACGCCCUAAACGAUGAUUACUCGACAUUUGCGAUAUACAGUAAGUGUCUGAGCGAAAGCAUUAAGUAAUCCACCUGGGAAGUACGACCGCAAGGUUGAAACU
RNAcentral lists this ribosomal RNA (851 nucleotides) under uncultured bacterium. RNAcentral's name for it is "bacterial SSU rRNA". It matches the Rfam family "Bacterial small subunit ribosomal RNA", at positions 50 to 901 of the family's 1533-position model. The record is from RNAcentral.